RNAcentral lists this ribosomal RNA (981 nucleotides) under human gut metagenome. RNAcentral describes it as "bacterial LSU rRNA". It matches the Rfam family "Bacterial large subunit ribosomal RNA", at positions 1950 to 2925 of the family's 2925-position model. The record is from RNAcentral.
CCUAAGGUAGCGAAAUUCCUUGUCGGGUAAGUUCCGACCUGCACGAAUGGCGUAAUGAUGGCCAGGCUGUCUCCACCCGAGACUCAGUGAAAUUGAACUCGCUGUGAAGAUGCAGUGUACCCGCGGCAAGACGGAAAGACCCCGUGAACCUUUACUAUAGCUUGACACUGAACACUGGUCCUUGAUGUGUAGGAUAGGUGGGAGGCUUUGAAGUGUGGACGCCAGUCUGCAUGGAGCCAUCCUUGAAAUACCACCCUUUAAUGGCUGGUGUUCUAACGUGGGCCCGUGAUCCGGGUUGCGGACAGUGUCUGGUGGGUAGUUUGACUGGGGCGGUCUCCUCCUAAAGAGUAACGGAGGAGCACGAAGGUCAGCUAAUCCUGGUCGGACAUCAGGAGGUUAGUGCAAUGGCAUAAGCUGGCUUGACUGCGAGCGUGACGGCGCGAGCAGGUGCGAAAGCAGGUCAUAGUGAUCCGGUGGUUCUGAAUGGAAGGGCCAUCGCUCAACGGAUAAAAGGUACUCCGGGGAUAACAGGCUGAUACCGCCCAAGAGUUCAUAUCGACGGCGGUGUUUGGCACCUCGAUGUCGGCUCAUCACAUCCUGGGGCUGAAGUAGGUCCCAAGGGUAUGGCUGUUCGCCAUUUAAAGUGGUACGCGAGCUGGGUUUAGAACGUCGUGAGACAGUUCGGUCCCUAUCUGCCGUGGGCGCUGGAGAAUUGAGGGGGGCUGCUCCUAGUACGAGAGGACCGGAGUGGACGCAUCACUGGUGUUCGGGUUGUCAUGCCAAUGGCAUUGCCCGGUAGCUAAAUGCGGAAGAGAUAAGUGCUGAAAGCAUCUAAGCACGAAACUUGCCCCGAGAUGAGUUCUCCCUGACUCCUUGAGAGUCCUGAAGGAACGUUGAAGACGACGACGUUGAUAGGCCGGGUGUGUAAGCGCAGCGAUGCGUUGAGCUAACCGGUACUAAUGAACCGUGAGGCUUAACCUU